UACGAAGGGGGCUAGCGUUGCUCGGAAUCACUGGGCGUAAAGCGCGCGUAGGCGGAUUGUUAAGUCAGGGGUGAAAUCCUGGAGCUCAACUCCAGAACUGCCUUUGAUACUGGCGAUCUCGAGUCCGGGAGAGGUGAGUGGAACUGCGAGUGUAGAGGUGAAAUUCGUAGAUAUUCGCAAGAACACCAGUGGCGAAGGCGGCUCACUGGUCCGGUACUGACGCUGAGGUGCGAAAGCGUGGGGAGCAAACAGG
RNAcentral lists this ribosomal RNA (253 nucleotides) under uncultured bacterium. Its description in RNAcentral is "partial 16S ribosomal RNA". It matches the Rfam family "Bacterial small subunit ribosomal RNA", at positions 524 to 776 of the family's 1533-position model. The record is from RNAcentral.